AGUAAUGUAUGGGGAUCUGCCUGAUGGCGGGGGAUAACUACUGGAAACGGUAGCUAAUACCGCAUAAUGUCUGCGGACCAAAGCGGGGGACCUCCGGGCCUCGCGCCAUCAGAUGAACCCAUAUAGGAUUAGCUAGUAGGUAAGGUAACGGCUUACCUAGGCGACGAUCCCUAGCUGGUCUGAGAGGAUGAUCAGCCACACUGGGACUGAGACACGGCCCAG
This 222-nucleotide ribosomal RNA is filed under the name uncultured bacterium. Its description in RNAcentral is "partial 16S ribosomal RNA". It matches the Rfam family "Bacterial small subunit ribosomal RNA", at positions 109 to 334 of the family's 1533-position model. The record is from RNAcentral.